CCUACGGGUGGCAGCAGUAAGGAAUAUUGGUCAAUGGACGCAAGUCUGAACCAGCCAUGCCGCGUGGAGGAUGAAGGCCCUCUGGGUUGUAAACUUCUUUUAUCUGGGGCGAAACUCCUCUAUUCUUAGAGGCCUGACGGUACCAGAUGAAUAAGCACCGGCUAACUCCGUGCCAGCAGCCGCGGUAAUACGGAGGGUGCAAGCGUUAUCCGGAUUCACUGGGUUUAAAGGGUGCGUAGGCGGACAUGUAAGUCAGUGGUGAAAUCUCAGAGCUU
RNAcentral lists this ribosomal RNA (275 nucleotides) under uncultured bacterium. Its description in RNAcentral is "partial 16S ribosomal RNA". It matches the Rfam family "Bacterial small subunit ribosomal RNA", at positions 338 to 610 of the family's 1533-position model. The record is from RNAcentral.